CGUGUAGCUGCAGCUCACGUCCAAAGUGGUUUGAACUCUGAAAUCUCAACACGAGGUAGAGACGAUAACGUCACCUCUCAGACAAUCACUGGUACAGCUGAUUAGCUGUCCUAAGUAAAGCAUCUAGAAAAGUGAACUUAAGUGGGACCAUUCGACUUCUUUUCUCAAAUCGCUGUAGUACGCUACUCUCAUCACCCAAUGGGAACCAUCAACACGGCUGGCUAGCCUAUCUUCAAAGAGGCAGUUUCAGGAGCAAAUGGAAGGGAAAUCAACUCUGUAGUUCUGUUCAGGACUACACGACGAACCAAGACAUUUACAUACGAUCCCGCAGGUGAAGAAGCCGGAUGAGGAGGUCCUGGGCUGGCAUGGUUACACAUGGACUGCGGUCGUGAGGACGUACUGCCAAAUUCUCUAAAAUGAUGUUGGAGGCAGCUUAUGGUAGGGAAACUAGCAUUCAAUUCUCUGACCACAGCUCUGGUGGACAUUCCUGCAGUCAGCAUGCCAAUUCCACUCUCCCGUGAAAUCUGUGGCAUUGUAUAGUGUGACAAAACUGCACAUUUUAGAGUAGCCUUUUAUUUCCCCUAACACAAGGUGCACCUGUGUAAUGAUCAUGCUGUUUAAUCAGCUUCUUGAUAUACCUCACCUGUCAAGUGGAUAGAUUAUCUUGGCAAAGGAAAAAUGUUCACUAAUAGGGAUGUAAAAAAAUGUGUGCACACAAUUUCAGAGAAAUAAGACUUUUAAUAAGAUCAUUUCUGGUAUCUUUAAUUUUAACAUGGGACCAAAAUGUACAUGUUGUGUUUUAUAUUUUUAUUCAGUAUAAUAUAACCAACUUUGAAAGCAACCACUCAAAAUCACCCAUAUUGUGCCAUGUUUUUGGAUUAUAACUUUGGUGAUAGAAGCACCAAAUUGCCACACAGCUAGAACAGGGUUUAAACACAUAUUUGUACACUGAACAAAGAUAACAUGUAAAGUGUUGGCCCCAUGUUUCAUGAGCUUAAAUAAAAGAUCCCAGAAAUGUUCCAUACGCACAAACAGUUUAUUUCUCUCAAAUUCUUUGCACAAUUUUGUUCCCAUCCCAUAGCCUACAUUGCAUAUGAAUUGUGACUGGAUCACGACAAUCGUGGAUGUACGUAGAAUACGCCCGAUUUUCCUUUAUGUCACUCCUGUUGGCUCCCUAAUUUGUGUGUUCAUUCUCUCUCACACUCAAUUCGUGCAAAUAUGUACAAGUAUUUCAGCAGAUUUUGUGUGUUUUUGUGUGUGUCACCUCCUGACCAGUAAAAGGGGUCAUUUGUCAUUGUAGUAUGGUCAGGGUGUGGCAGGGAGUGUUGUUUUUGUGUGUUUUGGGGUUAGUUUGUUUCAUGGGGAUUUGUUCUAGUUUUCAUUUUCUAUGUUCAUUUUCUAUGUGUGGCCGAGUAUGGUUACCAAUCAGAGGCAGGUGUCUUUCGUGGUCUCUGAUUGGAAGCCAUACUUAGGCAGCCUGUUUUUUCCUGUGGGUUGUGGGUGGUUGUUUUUCGUAUAGUCUAUGUUACCUUACGGAACUGUCAUGUGUUCAUGUUUCUCUAAUAAAAGAAGAUGAGCACUCAA
RNAcentral lists this long non-coding RNA (1584 nucleotides) under Salmo salar (Atlantic salmon). Its description in RNAcentral is "lncRNA (ENSSSAG00000089473.1)". Lineage: Eukaryota; Metazoa; Chordata; Actinopteri; Salmoniformes; Salmonidae. The record is from RNAcentral.